Molecule: ribosomal RNA, 468 nt
Filed under: uncultured bacterium
Lineage: Bacteria
Description: partial 16S ribosomal RNA
Rfam family: Bacterial small subunit ribosomal RNA
Source: RNAcentral
GACGAACGCUGGCGGCGUGCUUAACACAUGCCAGUCGAACGGAAAGGCCCUGCUUUUGUGGGGUGCUCGAGUGGCGAACGGGUGAGUAACACGUGAGUAACCUGCCCUUGACUUUGGGAUAACUUCAGGAAACUGGGGCUAAUACCGGAUAGGAGCUCCUGCUGCAUGGUGGGGGUUGGAAAGUUUCGGCGGUUGGGGAUGGACUCGCGGCUUAUCAGCUUGUUGGUGGGGUAGUGGCUUACCAAGGCUUUGACGGGUAGCCGGCCUGAGAGGGUGACCGGCCACAUUGGGACUGAGAUACGGCCCAGACUCCUACGGGAGGCAGCAGGGGGGAGUAUUGCACAAUGGGCGGAAGCCUGAUGCAGCAACGCCGCGUGCGGGAUGACGGCCUUCGGGUUGUAAACCGCUUUCGCCUGUGACGAAGCGUGAGUGACGGUAAUGGGUAAAGAAGCACCGGCUAACUACGUG